UUUGUUCAUCGUCAUAUAAUGUUGUGUGUAAUAAAGUUUUAUGUUUUAUCUAUUAGUUUGUUGUUAGCUUGUUAUGGAAUCUGGUUUACAAUGUCGUUGAAUAACUGCAACCUUAUGUAAUCUUGUAGUUGUACUGCUCUGGAUUAAGUCUCGAGUUCAAAAUUUACUGAUUGAUAUACAGUUACAAAGCGCAAAAUGUCCAAGAACAAAUAGUGAUGCAUUUUAUAUAUAUUAAUUCGUAUUUGCCAUUUUAGUUUUGCCAUUGAAUAUGCUCUUAGGUAUUUAGUUGGCAUUUUAAUGAGCAAAAACAGCGUUAUCAAUCACAAGGAUGCACUAAGUUUCAAGUAUUAAAAUUUAGCAUCACCAUGUACCAUGAAUCAGUGGUUCUUUUUAUUGCAUAACUUGUCCCAAGAGCUUGAUAAUUUUUACUAAACGUGUUGAAUUUUUGUAUUCUUGUGACUGACAGUUUAAACAUGUUGAACAAUGAUGUUCAGGG
This 496-nucleotide unclassified non-coding RNA is filed under the name Hevea brasiliensis (rubber tree). Lineage: Eukaryota; Viridiplantae; Streptophyta; Magnoliopsida; Malpighiales; Euphorbiaceae. The record is from RNAcentral.